RNAcentral lists this ribosomal RNA (1192 nucleotides) under Bacillus sp. 2BSG-PDA-5. RNAcentral's name for it is "bacterial SSU rRNA". It matches the Rfam family "Bacterial small subunit ribosomal RNA", at positions 43 to 1218 of the family's 1533-position model. Lineage: Bacteria; Bacillati; Bacillota; Bacilli; Caryophanales; Bacillaceae. The record is from RNAcentral.
CGUGCCUAAUACAUGCAAGUCGAGCGGACCGACGCGAGCUUGCUCCCUUAGGUCAGCGGCGGACGGGUGAGUAACACGUGGGUAGCCUGCCUGUAAGACUGGGAUAACUCCGGGAAACCGGGGCUAAUACCGGAUGCUUGAUUGAACCGCAUGGUUCAAUCAUAAAAGGCGGCUUCGGCUGCCGUUUACAGAUGGACCCGCGGCGCAUUAGCUAGUUGGUGAGGUAAUGGCUCACCAAGGCGACGAUGCGUAGCCGACCUGAGAGGGUGAUCGGCCACACUGGGACUGAGACACGGCCCAGACUCCUACGGGAGGCAGCAGUAGGGAAUCUUCCGCAAUGGACGAAAGUCUGACGGAGCAACGCCGCGUGAGUGAUGAAGGUUUUCGGAUCGUAAAGCUCUGUUGUUAGGGAAGAACAAGUACCGUUCGAAUAGGGCGGUACCUUGACGGUACCUAACCAGAAAGCCACGGCUAACUACGUGCCAGCAGCCGCGGUAAUACGUAGGUGGCAAGCGUUGUCCGGAAUUAUUGGGCGUAAAGCGCGCGCAGGCGGUUUCUUAAGUCUGAUGUGAAAGCCCCCGGCUCAACCGGGGAGGGUCAUUGGAAACUGGGGAACUUGAGUGCAGAAGAGGAGAGUGGAAUUCCACGUGUAGCGGUGAAAUGCGUAGAGAUGUGGAGGAACACCAGUGGCGAAGGCGACUCUCUGGUCUGUAACUGACGCUGAGGCGCGAAAGCGUGGGGAGCGAACAGGAUUAGAUACCCUGGUAGUCCACGCCGUAAACGAUGAGUGCUAAGUGUUAGAGGGUUUCCGCCCUUUAGUGCUGCAGCAAACGCAUUAAGCACUCCGCCUGGGGAGUACGGUCGCAAGACUGAAACUCAAAGGAAUUGACGGGGGCCCGCACAAGCGGUGGAGCAUGUGGUUUAUUUCUAAGCAACGCGAAGAACCUUACCAGGUCUUGACAUCCUCUGACACCCCUAGAGAUAGGGCUUCCCCUUCGGGGGCAGAGUGACAGGUGGUGCAUGGUUGUCGUCAUCUCGUGUCGUGAGAUGUUGGGUUAAGUCCCGCAACGAGCGCAACCCUUGAUCUUAGUUGCCAGCAUUCAGUUGGGCACUCUAAGGUGACUGCCGGCGACCAACCGGAGGAAGGUGGGGAUGACGUCAAAUCAUCAUGCCCCUUAUGACCUGGGCUACC